RNAcentral lists this ribosomal RNA (468 nucleotides) under uncultured bacterium. RNAcentral's name for it is "partial 16S ribosomal RNA". It matches the Rfam family "Bacterial small subunit ribosomal RNA", at positions 28 to 507 of the family's 1533-position model. The record is from RNAcentral.
GACGAACGCUGGCGGCGUGCUUAACACAUGCAAGUCGAACGGAAAGGCCCUGCUUUUGUGGGGUGCUUGAGUGGCGAACGGGUGAGUAACACGUGAGUAACCUGCCCUUGACUUUGGGAUAACUUCAGGAAACUGGGGCUAAUACCGGAUAGGAGCUCCUGCUGCAUGGUGGGGGUUGGAAAGUUUCGGCGGUUGGGGAUGGACUCGCGGCUUAUCAGCUUGUUGGUGGGGUAGUGGCUUACCAAGGCUUUGACGGGUAGCCGGCCUGAGAGGGUGACCGGCCACAUUGGGACUGAGAUACGGCCCAGACUCUUACGGGAGGCAGCAGUGGGGAAUAUUGCACAAUGGGCGGAAGCCUGAUGCAGCAACGCCGCGUGCGGGAUGACGGCCUUCGGGUUGUAAACCGCUUUCGCCUGUGACGAAGCGUGAGUGACGGUAAUGGGUAAAGAAGCACCGGCUAACUACGUG